GCCUGGGUGGCUCAGUCGGUUGAGCAUCCGACUUCAGCUCAGGUCAUGAUCUCACGGUCUGUGGGUUUGAGCCCCGCAUCAGGCU
RNAcentral lists this transfer RNA (85 nucleotides) under Felis catus (domestic cat). It matches the Rfam family "tRNA". Rfam says of the family: Transfer RNA (tRNA) molecules are approximately 80 nucleotides in length. Their secondary structure includes four short double-helical elements and three loops (D, anti-codon, and T loops). Lineage: Eukaryota; Metazoa; Chordata; Mammalia; Carnivora; Felidae. The record is from Rfam by way of RNAcentral.